GACGAACGCUGGCGGCGUGCUUAACACAUGCAAGUCGAACGGAAAGGCCCUGCUUUUGUGGGGUGCUCGAGUGGCGAACGGGUGAGUAACACGUGAGUAACCUGCCCUUGACUUUGGGAUAACUUCAGGAAACUGGGGCUAAUACCGGAUAGGAGCUCCUGCUGCAUGGUGGGGGUUGGAAAGUUUCGGCGGUUGGGGAUGGACUCGCGGCUUAUCAGCUUGUUGGUGGGGUAGUGGCUUACCAAGGCUUUGACGGGUAGCCGGCCUGAGAGGGUGACCGGCCACAUUGGGACUGAGAUACGGCCCAGACUCCUACGGGAGGCAGCAGUGGGGAAUAUUGCACAAUGGGCGGAAGCCUGAUGCAGAAACGCCGCGUGCGGGAUGACGGUCUUCGGGUUGUAAACCGCUUUCGCCUGUGACGAAGCGUGAGUGACGGUAAUGGGUAAAGAAGCACCGGCUAACUACGUG
This 468-nucleotide ribosomal RNA is filed under the name uncultured bacterium. RNAcentral describes it as "partial 16S ribosomal RNA". It matches the Rfam family "Bacterial small subunit ribosomal RNA", at positions 28 to 507 of the family's 1533-position model. The record is from RNAcentral.